RNAcentral lists this long non-coding RNA (2389 nucleotides) under Homo sapiens (human). RNAcentral's name for it is "HSALNT0298756". Lineage: Eukaryota; Metazoa; Chordata; Mammalia; Primates; Hominidae. The record is from RNAcentral.
AUGUUGACUAGUUUUGUUGUCUUUUUUUUUUCUGAGUGAAAAACGAACUCAUACACAUAGUAAAAAAUCCAAACAGUUUAACAUGGUUUUAUGUGGUUUUGAAAAGUGUGUAAAAAUUUUAGUUUGGGGUAAACCAAACUAAAAUUUAAAAGCCUAGAGGGGCACUUUAAAAAAUGCAUCUGUUGGUGAAUACUUUUAAGUGGAAAAUUCUUUUCUAGAUGAGAAUGUUGAAAGCUCAGAUUUGUGGGGUUAUGAGCUCAGGUUGCAUAUGCUGUUUUCUGAAGAUGGGGUACCCUUCUUCUCUCAGGUACAUGGAGAGGAUCUUUCUGGCAAGGGCUCAGCAGCUUUGAGAUCUGGGAGGACCCCGAGUCAUUUAUUUUGGGUUCUGGGUAUGACUGAUCUGUUUGGGGAUGAGGAAAUAAACACUCAGAAAGUCAAAGGGAACCAAGGACACACUCAUGGGCUCUGCUUCUCUAGCUUAGUUUUCUCCUCUGAAAAUGUGGGUAUUGUAUGGGAAUGAUCUCAUGGGGUCAUCUAGUUCUGUCUGUGACUAUGUAAUUGAAGACAUCUGAUUUAAAGCCUAGUGUUUGUAUUAGGGUAUCAGAAAAUGCGACAAGACUUCUUAGGUGUGGGUUUCCGGCACUGAGGCCAAAACUGGGCACUUUUACUUUUGUGCUUUUGCUUGAGACCAAUUGAUUGAUCUGCCUAUCUUCUAUCUCUUUGCCAUAAGAAAGGCUCUUUGUAAUUUCAUACUGAAAAAGUAUCAUCAAAAUAAAUCAUCAGUACCAUACCUAAGAUUAUCAUUAAUAAUUAGUCUGGUGGUAGAGACAGCUGGUAGGAUGCCAGAACAUUAACCUGAACAGUAAAAGAUUCAUUCUGUUUAAAAACAAAAAGCAGGGCAUUGUCCCCCCUCAGAUACUGAAGUCUAGAAACUGAGGCCUUGCCCACACAGAGCCAAAACAUCACUUCAAAGACCUUGUCUUAUCAAAGAUAAAAGUAUUCAGCCAGCUUAAAACAUUUUCAAGUAAAGGUCUCAAUUUAGUUAUCUAAAGGUAGAAUUUUAAGGUAUUUAAUGGAAAGAAUUUUAUAUCUUGGUGGAAAAAAAACUACAGACUUUGGAUAAUCAGGAGGUGGUUCAGAAUUAACUUGGGAAGUCUUCUAAAGCAUGUUGUGAUCGCAGCCUCAGGGUAGAAGGUUCUGUGGAUUUUGGUGGGAGAGGAGACCUUGGGAUGAUCCACCUCAGCUUUGAACACAGUGCAUGCUUUUAAAGCAUUUGUUAAAGGAAUGGGUGAAUGAAUGAAGGAGAGAAAAAAUCCCUGCUGCAUUAUCUACCCAUAAAAGAAAUACAGAACCAUCUGGAAGGUGAAGAACAAAGAAAGGGAAUCAAGCCCUGGGAAUGCAAGUUUGUUGCUUAUUCCUGUGACUGCUGCCACAGGGAUAAGGGUGCUAGGCUUGGGUUUAGGAGACUUGGGUGAAAUUCCAGUCUACACAUGGCUAGCAAGCUCUCUGAAAAAUGGGGAGAGCAAGCCAACACUCAGGCUUUUGACUAACUUGUCUGGCGUGUUUCUCAACAACUCCAUUAAGAAUUCACUGUUAGAAAUCUGAUCUUUUCUCCUCUGUUGAGCUUUACUUGGGCAUUUUAUUGAUUUGAUAUCACUUAGUAGAAACCCAUUCAACAAAAGGUAUCUCUUCAGGCCACUAGUCAAUACAGCAUUUUUUAUUUGCUGAGAUUUUUACUUCUAUUUUGCCCCACAUCAGCUGGUAAGUUUUAUAAGUAAGCAAAAAGUAGGAGCUAUAGACAAUAAGGAAGCAGAAUGAACCUCUGCAAUUCAUAUUUAUGUAUGAUUUCACUUGGAGUGGGAGGAGAUGUUUUUUUUCCCCAUCUUUGAAUAAGUAGAAAAACAUCUCACGUAACCUGGGGUGGUGGUGGUGAAUUUUCAGCUGAAGGGAAUCCUUCCUCGUGAAGCUCACUGCUAUCCUGUUAAUCUAGCAUUUUACUUUUGUGGUAAGAUUCUGGGUGGAAAGGGAAAAUGAAAUGAUACAGCAUCUCAAACAUAGGCAUCAAGAUUAUUUCCGUUGACCUGGUGACCAAGAUUAGGGUUUGCCUAACCCAGAGAUGAUAAUACGUAUUAAUGAUGAAGGGUAACGGCCGGCCCUUGGCCAAGGAGAACUCUUCUGAAGGGGUGGGCCAUUUGCUCACAUUUAUAAAGUUGGUCUCAGGGCGUUGAGGGGUGGGGGUGCAAACGAGGUGCUUUUACCUCUGGCUUUUGGGGCAAUGACAGCAGUUUUCUUUCUUGGCCCUUCUAAAGGGUUCUCUGCAUUCUGUCCCCCUCCCUGCCCCCAUCCAUUAAAGGAGAACGAAUAAACUGAUUUUACUGUUUUCCAAGAA